UGACGAGUUUGAUCCUGGCUCAGGAUGAACGCUAGCGGCAGGCCUAAUACAUGCAAGUCGAACGGUGAUAGCAAUAUCAUAGUGGCGCACGGGUGCGUAACACGUAUGCAACCUACCUAUUAUUGGGGGAUAGCCUUUGGAAACGGAGAUUAAUACCGCAUAAUACGAUUGACUGGCAUCGGUUGAUUGUUAAAGCUUCGGCGAUAAUAGAUGGGCAUGCGUCCAAUUAGUUAGUUGGUUAGGUAACGGCUGACCAAGACGAUGAUUGGUAGGGGAUCUGAGAGGAUAAUCCCCCACACUGGCACUGAGAUACGGGCCAGACUCCUACGGGGAGACAGCAGUGAGGAAUAUGGACAAUGGGGCGCAAGCCCUGAU
This 375-nucleotide ribosomal RNA is filed under the name uncultured Flectobacillus sp. RNAcentral's name for it is "bacterial SSU rRNA". It matches the Rfam family "Bacterial small subunit ribosomal RNA", at positions 1 to 387 of the family's 1533-position model. Lineage: Bacteria; Pseudomonadati; Bacteroidota; Cytophagia; Cytophagales; Flectobacillaceae. The record is from RNAcentral.